Molecule: ribosomal RNA, 505 nt
Filed under: uncultured bacterium
Lineage: Bacteria
Description: partial 16S ribosomal RNA
Rfam family: Bacterial small subunit ribosomal RNA
Source: RNAcentral
GACGAACGCUGGCGGCGUGCCUAAUACAUGCGAGUAGAACGCACAGUUUAUACCGUAGCUUGCUACACCAUAGACUGUGAGUUGCGAACGGGUGAGUAACGCGUAGGUAACCUGCCUGGUAGCGGGGGAUAACUAUUGGAAACGAUAGCUAAUACCGCAUAAUAUUAAUUAUUGCAUGAUAAUUAAUUGGAAGGUGCAAUUGCACCACUACCAGAUGGACCUGCGUUGUAUUAGCUAGUAGGUGAGGUAACGGCUCACCUAGGCGACGAUACAUAGCCGACCUGAGAGGGUGAGCGGCCACACUGAGACUGAGACACGGCCCAGACUCCUACGGGAGGCAGCAGUAGGGAAUCUUCGGCAAUGGACGAAAGUCUGACCGAGCAACGCCGCGUGAGUGAAGAAGGUUUUCGGAUCGUAAAGCUCUGUUGUAAGAGAAGAACGGGUGUGAGAGUGGAAAGUUCACACUGUGACGGUAUCUUACCAGAAAGGGACGGCUAACUACGUG